AUUACCUGUGGGUCUUGUUCAAAAGCAGAUUCUGAAUCAGUAGGUCUGGCGUUGGCCUGAGAUUCUGCAUUUAUAACAAGUUCCCAGGUGAUGCUGA
Molecule: microRNA precursor, 97 nt
Organism: Loxodonta africana (African savanna elephant)
Lineage: Eukaryota; Metazoa; Chordata; Mammalia; Proboscidea; Elephantidae
Rfam family: mir-544 microRNA precursor family
Source: Rfam